Sapajus apella (tufted capuchin) is the source of this 103-nucleotide long non-coding RNA. RefSeq lists it as uncharacterized. The transcript is spliced from 3 exons. The record is from RefSeq and is a predicted model, not a curated record. NCBI's taxonomy places the organism in Eukaryota, Metazoa, Chordata, Mammalia, Primates, Cebidae.
CCAGAGGAGCAACAACAAUAAGAACAACAACAACAAAGGACUGAAGUAACCAGAUCCCAAAGAACUCAUGAGUCAACAUCAAGCAGACCAACACAUGUGUUGU